This 2018-nucleotide ribosomal RNA is filed under the name Triticum aestivum (bread wheat). RNAcentral's name for it is "partial small subunit ribosomal RNA". Lineage: Eukaryota; Viridiplantae; Streptophyta; Magnoliopsida; Poales; Poaceae. The record is from RNAcentral.
CGACGAGAGAGGGAGAUGGCGGCUGACCUCCUCGUCUUUACCCCGCUCCCUCCCUCCACCAGCGUCUGCUUUGAUUACCUUCCGUUUCUGUCGUCGCGCAGCGAGAGGAGCACGCCAGCCGCGCGAUUGCGAGCUCCUCCCCCCUCCAUAAAUAGCGCCGGCUUGGCGGGCAGCGGCGGCGCCCGCCUCUACCGCAUUUCCAACGACGGCACAUCGGGAGGGAGAGAGAGGAGAUCCGCCGCGCGAGUAGAUUUCCUCGCCGCGCCCCGUUAAUUAGCGCGGCGCCCGUGUGAGAGUCCAAGAACUGGACGGAGGAGCCAGGUCCGCGAGAUGCAGAGCAUGGCGGCAUCCUCCUCGUCCUACUCCUCUGCAAGAGGCUGGGCGGCGGUGCGCCGUUGCCCCUCCCCUUCCCUGCCCGCGCGGCACGUCGCCUUCUCCUCCUCGUCCUCUUCCCGCUGCCCCGUCGCGGGCGCCGGCGCGCCCGUGCUGCCGCUCGGCAUUCGCGGGGGCCGCCUGCCGCUCCCCUGCCCCCUGCUCCCGCCCGGCGGCAAGAACGGCGCUUCCGCGAGAAGGGCGGCGGCGGCCGCCGCGCCGUCGGCGGAGGGAGACGGGAAGCCGGAGGCGGCCGGCAUUCCGCGGACGCUGCAGCUCGGCGCCAUGAUCCUCGUCUGGUACCUCCUCAACAUCUACUUCAACAUCUACAACAAGCUGGUUCUGAAAGCAGUGCCCUUCCCGUACACCAUCACCACCUUCCAGUUCGCAUCCGGCUCCUUCUUCAUCACUCUCAUGUGGCUGCUCAAUCUGCAUCCCAAGCCAAGGCUCUCCCUUCAACAGUACGCAAAGAUCCUGCCUUUGGCCUUAAUACACAUGAUGGGCAACGUCUUCACCAACAUGAGUUUGGGCAAGGUGGCCGUCUCCUUCACGCACACCAUCAAGGCCAUGGAGCCCUUCUUCUCUGUUCUGUUCUCAGUCUUGCUCCUCGGGCAGACACCUUCUUUACUGGUAGUAGGUUCUCUCGUGCCACUUGUCGGUGGAGUUGUGUUGGCAUCUAUGACUGAAGUUUCUUUCAACUGGAUUGGAUUUUGGAGUGCCAUGGCUUCUAAUGUUACAAAUCAGUCGCGAAAUGUUUUCAGCAAGAAACUUCUUGCUGACAAAGAGGAAACGUUGGACGAUAUAAAUCUCUUCUCAAUUAUGACUGUCAUGUCAUUUUUGUUGUCGGUCCCAUUAAUGCUAUAUUUAGAGGGCAUCAAGUUUAGCCCAUCAUACCUACAGAGCACUGGCGUAAAUCUUCAAGAACUUUGCGUGAAAGCAGCCAUUGCUGGCACUUGUUUCCAUUUUUAUCAACAGGUUUCAUAUAGUUUAUUGGCCAGAAUAUCACCUGUGACCCAUUCUGUUGCAAACUCUGUCAAACGGGUUGUUGUCAUCGUGUCAUCCGUUAUCUUCUUCAGAACUCCAAUUUCACCUAUAAAUGCCCUUGGAACUGGUCUGGCUCUGCUCGGUGUUUUCCUGUACUCUAGAUUCAAGAAGGCAAAACCAAAGGCAAAGGCUGCAUAAAGAUCGCUUAUAUAGCAACAAUUAGCUUCAGAAGGAUCAGGAUCAGGGGAAUGUACUGCUUUCACUGGUAGCAUACACUUGGCUUUCCCCCAGUUUGUCUCCACCAUGUUCUCUCAUCUUCUUAUUUGGCUGUUUGUACCUUGUAUAGAAGAUUUUUCUGAAGGUUGUGGUGGACCGACAAAGAAAUAGCACUGUCAAAACUCUUUUCAAGAGAACAAGAAUUUUGGCAUGUACUCCUGAAAGUUCUGAUGCAGAAUAUUAGCCUUUUUGCAGUGAUUCUCUUAACAUGUUGGUGCAACUUAUACCUCUGGUGCACUCUGCAUGCAACGUCGCUGUUGUUUCCAAGUCAAGUGCAUCCAGAUGCAUUAUUGGUCAGCUUCUAGCACAUUUUUUAUUCAUUUCAUAACUUAUGCUAAAUAUUAUUUAAGCACCGUAGUGCUAUAACGUUCAAGAUUCUAACUUCC